AUGCCUGGGCCGCCAGGGAGAGGCCGCCCACAAUCGCGGGCCGGAAGGGACCGCGGGGGGCGUCGGGGCCAGCCCCCCAUUUCGCAGUUGAGGCGGGGUUGGGGCGGAGGGCGUGCGGCCGGGGUGCCGCCGACUUCGUCCAUCCGGAACGUGGGCUGGAGACCCAGCAGCCUGGGAAGGGCCCCAGCCCUGUGGGCGCCCUCUCCCCACGCUUGCUGCGAAACGCUUCGUUAAGGGACUCAGGCAGUACGGGAAGAACUUCUUCAGAAUUAGAAAGGAGCUGCUUCCCAAUAAGGAAACAGGGGAGCUGAUCACCUUCUAUUACUAUUGGAAGAAGACCCCCGAAGCAGCCAGCUCCCGAGCCCAUCGUAGGCACCGCAGGCAGGCCGUGUUCAG
Molecule: small RNA, 396 nt
Filed under: Pan troglodytes (chimpanzee)
Lineage: Eukaryota; Metazoa; Chordata; Mammalia; Primates; Hominidae
Description: processed transcript
Source: RNAcentral